RNAcentral lists this long non-coding RNA (281 nucleotides) under Nicotiana benthamiana. RNAcentral describes it as "long non-coding RNA (NBEN_LNC028948)". The record is from RNAcentral. Lineage: Eukaryota; Viridiplantae; Streptophyta; Magnoliopsida; Solanales; Solanaceae.
UAAAGACAAAUGGAAAUUAUGGAUUUUAUUGAAAAGAAAGUGUAUAAGUAUGAACCUUCAACAAGUUCAUCUUUUUCUACUUCUGACAUUUUAGACUCAAAAGAGUACGUGCGAACGAGACCGAAACCUCACCGGGCAGAAACUCAUACUUCAUCGUAUUCGAUUGGAACUUUAAUGAAGCUUAAGGAUGGUGUCUGGACCAAUUUUCGAAGCUGUUUUUGAGCUGUUUGGCAGCUAUUUUGGGAUCAUUUUUAGAGUUGAAAUUUCAGCUUUUAAUGGCU